This 329-nucleotide unclassified non-coding RNA is filed under the name soil metagenome. RNAcentral's name for it is "partial contains 5.8S ribosomal RNA, internal transcribed spacer 2, and large subunit ribosomal RNA". The stretch from base 1 to 120 matches the Rfam family "5.8S ribosomal RNA", at positions 35 to 154 of the family's 154-position model. The record is from RNAcentral.
GAUGAAGAACGCAGCGAAAUGCGAUAAGUAAUGUGAAUUGCAGAAUUCAGUGAAUCAUCGAAUCUUUGAACGCACAUUGCGCCCCUUGGUAUUCCGAGGGGCAUGCCUGUUCGAGCGUCAUUAUAACCCCUCAAGCUCAGCUUGGUGUUGGGGCCUGCUGCACUGGCAGCCCUUAAAAUCAGUGGCGGGGCCAUCUGGCUCUAAGCGUAGUAAUUCUUCUCGCUAUGGAGUCCUGGUGGAUGCUUGCCAUCAACCCCCAAUUUUUCUAUGGUUGACCUCGGAUCAGGUAGGGAUACCCGCUGAACUUAAGCAUAUCAAUAAGCGGAGGA